AACGAACGCUGGCGGCAUGCCUAACACAUGCAAGUCGAACGAAGGCUUCGGCCUUAGUGGCGCACGGGUGCGUAACGCGUGGGAAUCUGCCCUUGGGUUCGGAAUAACAGCGGGAAACUGCUGCUAAUACCGGAUGAUGACGUAAGUCCAAAGAUUUAUCGCCCAAGUAUGAGCCCGCGUAGGAUUAGCUAGUUGGUGGGGUAAAGGCCCACCAAGGCGACGAUCCUUAGCUGGUCUGAGAGGAUGAUCAGCCACACUGGGACUGAGACACGGCCCAGACUCCUACGGGAGGCAGCAGUGGGGAAUAUUGGACAAUGGGCGAAAGCCUGAUCCAGCAAUGCCGCGUGAGUGAUGAAGGCCUUAGGGUUGUAAAGCUCUUUUACCCGGGAUGAUAAUGACAGUACCGGGAGAAUAAGCUCCGGCUAACUCCGUG
Molecule: ribosomal RNA, 433 nt
Filed under: uncultured bacterium
Lineage: Bacteria
Description: partial 16S ribosomal RNA
Rfam family: Bacterial small subunit ribosomal RNA
Source: RNAcentral